GAUGAACGCUGGCGGCGUGCUUAACACAUGCAAGUCGAACGGAAAGGCCGAAGCUUGCUUCGGUACUCGAGUGGCGAACGGGUGAGUAACACGUGGGUGAUCUGCCCUGUACUUCGGGAUAAGCUUGGGAAACUGGGUCUAAUACCGGAUAUGACGAUCUCUUGGAUGGGGUUGUGGAAAGCUUUUGCGGUAUGGGAUGAGCUCGCGGCCUAUCAGCUUGUUGGUGGGGUAAUGGCCUACCAAGGCGUCGACGGGUGGCCGGCCUGAGAGGGUGUACGGCCACAUUGGGACGGAGAUACGGCCCAGACUCCUACGGGAGGCAGCAGUGGGGAAUAUUGCACAAUGGGCGCAAGCCUGAUGCAGCGACGCCGCGUGGGGGAUGACGGCCUUCGGGUUGUAAACUCCUUUCGCAAUCGACGAAGCCUUUUGGUGACGGUAGGUUGAGAAGAAGCACCGGCUAACUACGUG
This 468-nucleotide ribosomal RNA is filed under the name uncultured bacterium. Its description in RNAcentral is "partial 16S ribosomal RNA". It matches the Rfam family "Bacterial small subunit ribosomal RNA", at positions 28 to 507 of the family's 1533-position model. The record is from RNAcentral.